UACGUAGGGUGCAAGCGUUGUCCGGAAUUUUUGGGCGUAAAGAGCUCGUAGGCGGUUUGUCGCGUCUGCUGUGAAAACCCGAGGCUCAACCUCGGGCCUGCAGUGGGUACGGGCAGACUAGAGUGCGGUAGGGGAGAUUGGAAUUCCUGGUGUAGCGGUGGAAUGCGCAGAUAUCAGGAGGAACACCAAUGGCGAAGGCAGAUCUCUGGGCCGUAACUGACGCUGAGGAGCAAAAGCAUGGGGAGCGAACAGG
This 253-nucleotide ribosomal RNA is filed under the name uncultured bacterium. RNAcentral's name for it is "partial 16S ribosomal RNA". It matches the Rfam family "Bacterial small subunit ribosomal RNA", at positions 524 to 776 of the family's 1533-position model. The record is from RNAcentral.